This 418-nucleotide long non-coding RNA is filed under the name Brassica napus (rape). RNAcentral describes it as "long non-coding RNA (BNAP_LNC011469)". Lineage: Eukaryota; Viridiplantae; Streptophyta; Magnoliopsida; Brassicales; Brassicaceae. The record is from RNAcentral.
AAAAAAUGAAACCUCAAAUAUAAGAUUUUGUACAGUAAAAAUUAUCACUGUACAAAACCUUAUAAUUCGAAGUUUUGAGGUUGCUUUCGGAGUAUAUAAACUUAAUAUUUGAGGUUUCAAGGUUGUUUUCGGAGAUGCUCUAAUAGGAUCAAAGAAGUCCAAUUAUCCUUCCAAAAACUACUUGUGAUCCCUGAACCAAUUUCAUGUUAUAAAAAAGAUGAGAAAAUUACCAAAGCUUACACAGAAUUUUCUCUAUCCAACUUCCCAUGAUUUGUGAAUUUAACUCCCAAAAGCUGGAAGAUCCAAUCCAAUAUCCAGUUACCCACCCAUAAGGAGCCUCCGGCUGCAAAAUAAGUCAAACCACUAUAGAAGAAAAUGAUAUAGACAUAGAAAAUUUGUGUAUAAGGUUAAUUUCCGU